This 371-nucleotide unclassified non-coding RNA is filed under the name Zea mays. Its description in RNAcentral is "misc RNA Zm00001eb352270". Lineage: Eukaryota; Viridiplantae; Streptophyta; Magnoliopsida; Poales; Poaceae. The record is from RNAcentral.
AUUGGAAUUAAGAUAGAUGAAAACACAUUUGAGAAUGCUGACUUGAGUAAAGAAAUGGAGAUGGCUAGACUUUGUUUGGCUCAAAAGAAAAAGAAACUGGAAAAUGAUCCAAUGAAAGGGAAAAACAUGAUGAAAAUAAAGAUGAUUUUGAUGGGGAUAAAAGAUGGACCUAGAGUGAAGAGUCUGAAUCAGACAACUUCAUUGUGGUGCAGUCCAGGAAAAAGAGAAAAGAAAAAAGAAUUAAUGUUUAAAUGUCUCCUAUCACCAAAGGGCAAAUUAGUUUUGACCCAAAAAAGAAAGACAAAAGAGGCAAUGCCAAAAACCCUUACACCAAAAGUAAAUAUGCAAAUGAACCUAAAAAUAAAGAUUCC